Molecule: ribosomal RNA, 531 nt
Filed under: uncultured Glomus
Lineage: Eukaryota; Fungi; Glomeromycota; Glomeromycetes; Glomerales; Glomeraceae
Description: SSU rRNA
Rfam family: Eukaryotic small subunit ribosomal RNA
Source: RNAcentral
CUGGUGCCAGCAGCCGCGGUAAUCCAGCUCCAAUAGCGUAUAUUAAAGUUGUUGCAGUUAAAAAGCUCGUAGUUGAAUUUCGGGGUCAGUAAGUUGGUCGUGCCUACGGUAUGCACUGGCUUUACUGAUUCCUCCUUCUUGAAGAACUGUAAUGCCAUUAGUUUGGCGUUGCAGGGAAACAGGACUGUUACUUUGAAAAAAUUAGAGUGUUUAAAGCAGGCAAUCGCUUGAAUACAUUAGCAUGGAAUAAUGAAAUAGGACGUUCGAUCCUAUUUUGUUGGUUUCUAGGGGUUGACGUAAUGAUUAAUAGGGAUAGUUGGGGGCAUUAGUAUUCAAUUGUCAGAGGUGAAAUUCUUGGAUUUAUUGAAGACUAACUACUGCGAAAGCAUCUGCCAAGGAUGUUUUCAUUAAUCAAGAACGAAAGUUAGGGGGAUCGAAGACGAUCAGAUACCGUCGUAGUCUUAACCAUAAACUAUGCCGACUAGGGAUCGGAUGAUGUUAAUUUUUUAAUGACUCAUUCGGCGCCUUACG